This 2216-nucleotide ribosomal RNA is filed under the name Salmonella enterica. Its description in RNAcentral is "partial 23S ribosomal RNA". It matches the Rfam family "Bacterial large subunit ribosomal RNA", at positions 711 to 2823 of the family's 2925-position model. The record is from RNAcentral. Lineage: Bacteria; Pseudomonadati; Pseudomonadota; Gammaproteobacteria; Enterobacterales; Enterobacteriaceae.
AGACCCGAAACCCGGUGAUCUAGCCAUGGGCAGGUUGAAGGUUGGGUAACACUAACUGGAGGACCGAACCGACUAAUGUUGAAAAAUUAGCGGAUGACCUGUGGCUGGGGGUGAAAGGCCAAUCAAACCGGGAGAUAGCUGGUUCUCCCCGAAAGCUAUUUAGGUAGCGCCUCGUGAAUUCAUCUCCGGGGGUAGAGCACUGUUUCGGCUAGGGGGCCAUCCCGGCUUACCAACCCGAUGCAAACUGCGAAUACCGGAGAAUGUUAUCACGGGAGACACACGGCGGGUGCUAACGUCCGUCGUGAAGAGGGAAACAACCCAGACCGCCAGCUAAGGUCCCAAAGUCAUGGUUAAGUGGGAAACGAUGUGGGAAGGCCCAGACAGCCAGGAUGUUGGCUUAGAAGCAGCCAUCAUUUAAAGAAAGCGUAAUAGCUCACUGGUCGAGUCGGCCUGCGCGGAAGAUGUAACGGGGCUAAACCAUGCACCGAAGCUGCGGCAGCGAACGUAUCACCCAAGACAACUUUACGGAGUUGACGAUUGACGGAGCGAAGCGACGUCAAAGCGUUCAUUAAAGUCGAGUUGGCUUAGGGAUACGUUCGUUGGGUAGGGGAGCGUUCUGUAAGCCUGUGAAGGUGUGUCGUGAGGCAUGCUGGAGGUAUCAGAAGUGCGAAUGCUGACAUAAGUAACGAUAAAGCGGGUGAAAAGCCCGCUCGCCGGAAGACCAAGGGUUCCUGUCCAACGUUAAUCGGGGCAGGGUGAGUCGACCCCUAAGGCGAGGCCGAAAGGCGUAGUCGAUGGGAAACGGGUUAAUAUUCCCGUACUUGGUGUUACUGCGAAGGGGGGACGGAGAAGGCUAUGUUGGCCGGGCGACGGUUGUCCCGGUUUAAGCGUGUAGGUGUGUGUUCCAGGUAAAUCCGGUUCACUUUAACACUGAGGCGUGACGACGAGGCACUACGGUGCUGAAGCAACAAAUGCCCUGCUUCCAGGAAAAGCCUCUAAGCAUCAGGUAACAUCAAAUCGUACCCCAAACCGACACAGGUGGUCAGGUAGAGAAUACCAAGGCGCUUGAGAGAACUCGGGUGAAGGAACUAGGCAAAAUGGUGCCGUAACUUCGGGAGAAGGCACGCUGACACGUAGGUGAAGUGAUUUACUCAUGGAGCUGAAGUCAGUCGAAGAUACCAGCUGGCUGCAACUGUUUAUUAAAAACACAGCACUGUGCAAACACGAAAGUGGACGUAUACGGUGUGACGCCUGCCCGGUGCCGGAAGGUUAAUUGAUGGGGUCAGCGCAAGCGAAGCUCCUGAUCGAAGCCCCGGUAAACGGCGGCCGUAACUAUAACGGUCCUAAGGUAGCGAAAUUCCUUGUCGGGUAAGUUCCGACCUGCACGAAUGGCGUAAUGAUGGCCAGGCUGUCUCCACCCGAGACUCAGUGAAAUUGAACUCGCUGUGAAGAUGCAGUGUACCCGCGGCAAGACGGAAAGACCCCGUGAACCUUUACUAUAGCUUGACACUGAACAUUGAGCCUUGAUGUGUAGGAUAGGUGGGAGGCUUUGAAGUGUGGACGCCAGUCUGCAUGGAGCCGACCUUGAAAUACCACCCUUUAAUGUUUGAUGUUCUAACGUGGACCCGUAAUCCGGGUUGCGGACAGUGUCUGGUGGGUAGUUUGACUGGGGCGGUCUCCUCCUAAAGAGUAACGGAGGAGCACGAAGGUUGGCUAAUCCUGGUCGGACAUCAGGAGGUUAGUGCAAUGGCAUAAGCCAGCUUGACUGCGAGCGUGACGGCGCGAGCAGGUGCGAAAGCAGGUCAUAGUGAUCCGGUGGUUCUGAAUGGAAGGGCCAUCGCUCAACGGAUAAAAGGUACUCCGGGGAUAACAGGCUGAUACCGCCCAAGAGUUCAUAUCGACGGCGGUGUUUGGCACCUCGAUGUCGGCUCAUCACAUCCUGGGGCUGAAGUAGGUCCCAAGGGUAUGGCUGUUCGCCAUUUAAAGUGGUACGCGAGCUGGGUUUAGAACGUCGUGAGACAGUUCGGUCCCUAUCUGCCGUGGGCGCUGGAGAACUGAGGGGGGCUGCUCCUAGUACGAGAGGACCGGAGUGGACGCAUCACUGGUGUUCGGGUUGUCAUGCCAAUGGCACUGCCCGGUAGCUAAAUGCGGAAGAGAUAAGUGCUGAAAGCAUCUAAGCACGAAACUUGCCCCGAGAUGAGUUCUCCCUGAGACUU